RNAcentral lists this ribosomal RNA (339 nucleotides) under uncultured cyanobacterium. RNAcentral describes it as "bacterial SSU rRNA". It matches the Rfam family "Bacterial small subunit ribosomal RNA", at positions 416 to 770 of the family's 1533-position model. The record is from RNAcentral. Lineage: Bacteria; Bacillati; Cyanobacteriota.
CUGUGGGUCGUAAACCUCUUUUCUCAGGGAAGAAGUACUGACGGUACCUGAGGAAUCAGCAUCGGCUAACUCCGUGCCAGCAGCCGCGGUAAGACGGAGGAUGCAAGCGUUAUCCGGAAUUAUUGGGCGUAAAGCGUCCGUAGGUGGUAUAGAAAGUCUGUUGUUAAAUCCCACAGCUCAACUGUGGAUCGGCAAUGGAAACUACUAAACUUGAGUGUGGUAGGGGUAGAGGGAAUUCCUAGUGUAGCGGUGAAAUGCGUAGAUAUUAGGAAGAACACCAGUGGCGAAGGCGCUCUACUGGGCCAUAACUGACACUGAUGGACGAAAGCUAGGGGAGCG